CAGUUCACAUGUUCCCAUGUUCAUCAUGUGACUCUUUGCAGUAACACGGUAAAAAUUGUGGCUCUUAGCCUCUUGACUGGUUGGCCACUUCUGCCCUAGGCCUUCUUCUUAUCACAUUCUUUACUUUGUUUAAAUUGAUAUUAUACAUUUUCAGGCAGAAUUGCUCAACUUUAACUCAAAAUGCAAUAAAAACUAAACUCUGUGAUUGAGGAAUAAACUUUAUUAUUAUUUAAGAUUAUUUGAGUUGCGUAACUAUCUGAGCGGUUCUUGUUUGUAUACUGUUGAAAUAAUUGAGUUUGUCCGUCAGGACACUUUAUUUUUUACGAUUUGCCUGUUAAAUGAUGUGAUUUUUGGAGACAGAUUUGAGCUCUUGCUGCAUAUUCAGGAGGUUUAUGAAGUUGUUUUUGUAUCUGUGUGUAGGCCACUGUCCCCAACGGCCAGAUGUUUAGUUAAAGGAAUAAAGCAAACGAUGAGAAAGUUUGUUGCUAACAUUCAUGUCUGAGAUGAUACGACAGGCAUCAUAAAGUGCCAGGUGAAAGAGGUGAACAGGUGUUGAUGUUGACGAGAAGAAUUUAAUUAAGUUUUGUUCACAUUUGUGCAUGCCACACCAUCAAUUAAGUGAGAGAAAAACAAACACCCUGACCUUCAACAUUGUGUACUGUCAUAGUGGUUUCAAUAGAAACGAAACACACGCAGUGGCUAGUAACAAUACACUAUUGAGUGCAGUGGUAACAUGAGACAUUUUAGUUUUUGAUCCAAGUCGAAGCUUUAAAGACACUCAUUAAUUAAGUAUUUUAGAAAUUUAUGUGAAGUUACAGGCUCAAUCACACCAUCCUGAGAUGUAACAAGAGACGGCAGCUUUGUUGGUUUAUGUCUUUGAUAACUCCUGACUGAGACACAACUUCAGCACAUAGAAAACAACAGAUAGACGUACGGUACAUUUAAAUAUUAUCAGCAUAUUUUAUUUCUCUACUGGCUGAUCAAUUUGAUAUUUUCUGCAGAUUUUCUGAGGUGAAGAGAAAGUAAAUUAUUUGUCAUUGUGACACAGCAUACAACGGAAUUUGACCUCUGUAUUUUACCCAUCGCCAAAGUGAGCCCCGGGGGGAGCAGUGUGUGGGGACGGCACCUCAGUGGUAACUUGGCAGCUGGUGGACUCGAACCUGAAAACUUCUGAAUCCAAGUCUGCUUCCUUAACCACUUUAACCAUCAAACCACUGCUGCCACCACAGUUCUCAGUGAGUUACUAAACAAGCUUCUCCACACAUUCUUACCCAGGAGUGCAGUAAUUCUCAGAAAGUAACAGCAGAGGGCAGCUUUGUUUUAUUUUCUGUCAAGUAUUGUCCCAGUUGUUGCUUCACUCCACAGCUAUGACAAGUGUCACUGUUACCAUUUUCAAACUAAUAUUGUUUUCCUGCAGUAAUUUCUUAGUCCUGCAGUAAUACUUAGAAAUGUGCGAAACCUGUCGCCUUAUGUAUAAAGUUUUCCAGUGUACGUUCAGAGUAGCCUAUUUGUAGCCGUAAGACUUAACUGCACUGUCCCGUCUCCACCGUACUCUGGUCUGUUACCAGCUUAAACAGGUUACAUUCACUUAGCUAAAAUAAUCUGUUAAAACCCUGUCAGAGAACCGUGAUGUUGUUACUUUACAGAACAUGUUUUAACUCCUCCAGAGUGUAGUGGUGACUUGCCUUUCACCACCAUAUGCUUUGUUUGGCAUAGUGAUGAAAGGCAUUGAUGCAGCUGUUUCACCAUUAAAAGCGAGGUGGUUUAUCUCACAAUGGUGAGAAUGUGUUGUUUUGUUUUUUUUAAGUCACCAGCUCUUUAAAAUGCUUAAAUAAAAAGCAAUAGUUUAGAUUAAACAAACAACUAAAUUAAUUUCAUAUAGAAAUUCUAUUCAUAUACAUUUAAUAAAAAAAAAGCACAAGUGUUGCUUUUCAGGAACAGGUGAACAAUAGCAUAAUCUACAAAGCAGUAAAAGGUAAAAGUGCCUUAUAAAAGGUUAAAAUAAAAAGGACCCAAAUGUGAGCCCUGCAGAACCCCACGCUUCAGCUGAGCAGAACGCUCCUGGCACAUAAUUAUUAACCAUUUGGGGUCAGUGUCCUUAAGCCCACACACAAAACAAGACCAGACUGGAGAUAAUUGGUGUUCACUGUAUCAAAUGCAGCCGAUCGAUUUAGAAACACAACAGCAGCAGAGUUCACACAAUCACCAGUUAGACCAAGGCAUUUAAAACUCCUGAAGGUGAAGUUUCUGUACAGUAUCACGACCUUAAUCUGACAAGAAUUUCAUGGACAUGUUUUUUUUUCUGAAUGUCGGUUUAUAAUUGAUUAUAUACAGUAUAUGCCAGAGCUUAUUUGUAACUCUAAACUCUGUUACUUUACAUACUCUACCACUUUGUGGUGAAGGUGCAAUAGAUUCUGAAUGUUUUAUGGAGUUGAUUUUUAGAAUAUUUGAGAGAAGAAAUCCUGAUCCCAACAAACUGACACUCUUUGCACAGUGGCUUCUUCUUCUUUUGUUACAAAGCCACACCCAUAUUAACUCCUUUAUUGUCUUUUAGUUCUGUGAGUCUUUUUGUCCUUCAAAGGUUGGUGACACUUGGUACUGGGUGUACAGGUAGCUUUUACUUCAUAAAAUGUGUGUGUGUGUGUAUCAUGCCUUACAUUUACACCGUUUACGGUAUACAAUUGGAAGAGCAGAAUCAAGGGCAGUUUGAAGUUCUGUCUGACUUAUUACAAUAGGUAAUAAUAAUUCUUUAACAUAUUGUUCAUAUUGGACCUCUUUUUUUGAUCGACUUGUUAGCUGUUGAGUUAGAAAAGUAAGAAAAAUAAAUAAAAAAAAUAAACUUUUCCUGAUGGUGUUGGAGUGUGCAGAACAUGAUGAUCCUCAUACUCCUGGUUCGGAGCUGAUGAGCUGUGAUCACAGUGAACUUCUGGCACUGAAGAACAGCAAAUUGGUGUGCAUGAGGGUUUGAGAGCUGUAAAAAGUUUGAAGCCUAGAGCAGUCGCUGGAACGGCACUGCUGCAGGUCACGUCACCCUGCAUUAAAUAGAGAUAAAAUCAUGUGUGUUUUCCUUCUUUGCUUACUGAGAACUUCCAGUAUUUGCAUGCAAUGGUUUGAUGGGAUCAGGCGUUUGUUGUUGUUGUUGUUGUUGUCACAGGGCCAGCAAACAAAGACUGGACAUGGUUUCUAGAGAAUAAGGACCAACAGGGGCAAUUGUUAUGGUUUGUGUCACACUGGCUGUUGAAUGUGUGUCACAUUCUUUUGCUUGUGAUGUGUUUUCUGCAGCUUUUUUUAUGUACGGUAUAUGCAGCUGUGUUGAAUGGCACACAAAACUGAUCAGCCCUGAUGUCUGUGUCCACACUUUAUGUAGGCCAUGCAAGUUAUUAAUAACCAAAGAUGACUGAAUCAUUCCUCAGCUUUGUGUUGCUUUUGAUAUAAGAGAUUCUUCAUUACUUAUGGCAAUGGUUUUCGGCACAUACUGGAUGUUAAAAUAUCUUUUAACAUUAAACAUCCUUAUUUGGCACUGAUGAAACUAUAAGACUGAUCACUCUUGUUAAAUCCUAAAAUUUCCCAACCAGAAAUUAGUCACGAAGCGCUGCUUAUUUUUAUAAUAUCUUUGAUUGUUUCACAUUGUUGUUUUUUCCCAACCAUUCACAUGUUGGUUGCAAUGUGGAUUUCAAAUUCAUGUUACAUUUCUCAAUUAACAUGAAUUUCAUUGAAAAAAAAAAA
Molecule: long non-coding RNA, 3726 nt
Organism: Cynoglossus semilaevis (tongue sole)
Lineage: Eukaryota; Metazoa; Chordata; Actinopteri; Pleuronectiformes; Cynoglossidae
Exons: 3
Source: RefSeq, a predicted model, not a curated record